AGAACACUUUGCUGCUGCCU
RNAcentral lists this non-coding RNA (20 nucleotides) under Rattus norvegicus (Norway rat). The record is from RNAcentral. Lineage: Eukaryota; Metazoa; Chordata; Mammalia; Rodentia; Muridae.